CGGGAAACCGGAGCUAAUACCGGAUAAUAUAUUGAACCGCAUGGUUCAAUAGUGAAAGACGGUUUUGCUGUCACUUAUAGAUGGAUCCGCGCCGCAUUAGCUAGUUGGUAAGGUAACGGCUUACCAAGGCAACGAUGCGUAGCCGACCUGAGAGGGCGAUCGGCCACACUGGAACUGAGACACGGUCCAG
RNAcentral lists this ribosomal RNA (190 nucleotides) under uncultured Staphylococcus sp. Its description in RNAcentral is "partial 16S ribosomal RNA". It matches the Rfam family "Bacterial small subunit ribosomal RNA", at positions 150 to 334 of the family's 1533-position model. Lineage: Bacteria; Bacillati; Bacillota; Bacilli; Caryophanales; Staphylococcaceae. The record is from RNAcentral.